This 2040-nucleotide ribosomal RNA is filed under the name Persinema komarekii TM S1. RNAcentral describes it as "bacterial SSU rRNA". The stretch from base 1 to 1514 matches the Rfam family "Bacterial small subunit ribosomal RNA". Lineage: Bacteria; Bacillati; Cyanobacteriota; Cyanophyceae; Nodosilineales; Persinemataceae. The record is from RNAcentral.
GGCAUGCCUAAUACAUGCAAGUCGAGCGGACUUGAUGAGAAGCUUGCUUCUCUGAUAGUUAGCGGCGGACGGGUGAGUAACACGUAGGCAACCUGCCCUCAAGUUUGGGACAACUACCGGAAACGGUAGCUAAUACCGAAUAGUUGUUUUUUUCGCCUGGAGAGAACUGGAAAGACGGAGCAAUCUGUCACUUGGGGAUGGGCCUGCGGCGCAUUAGCUAGUUGGUGGGGUAACGGCUCACCAAGGCGACGAUGCGUAGCCGACCUGAGAGGGUGAUCGGCCACACUGGGACUGAGACACGGCCCAGACUCCUACGGGAGGCAGCAGUAGGGAAUCUUCCGCAAUGGGCGAAAGCCUGACGGAGCAAUGCCGCGUGAGUGAUGAAGGUUUUCGGAUCGUAAAGCUCUGUUGCCAGGGAAGAACGCUUGGGAGAGUAACUGCUCUCAAGGUGACGGUACCUGAGGAAUCAGCAUCGGCUAACUCCGUGCCAGCAGCCGCGGUAAUACGGAGGAUGCAAGCGUUAUCCGGAAUUAUUGGGCGUAAAGCGUCCGCAGGCGGCUAGAUAAGUCUGCUUUCAAAGAGUGGGGCUCAACCCCAUAGGGGGAGUGGAAACUGUUUAGCUAGAGUAUGGUAGGGGCAGAGGGAAUUCCCAGUGUAGCGGUGAAAUGCGUAGAUAUUGGGAAGAACACCAGUGGCGAAGGCGCUCUGCUGGACCGAGACUGACGCUGAGGGACGAAAGCUAGGGGAGCGAAAGGGAUUAGAUACCCCUGUAGUCCUAGCUGUAAAUGAUGGACACUAGGUGUUGCGCGUAUCGACCCGUGCAGUGCCGUAGCUAACGCGUUAAGUGUCCCGCCUGGGGAGUACGCACGCAAGUGUGAAACUCAAAGGAAUUGACGGGGGCCCGCACAAGCGGUGGAGUAUGUGGUUUAAUUCGAUGCAACGCGAAGAACCUUACCAGGGUUUGACAUCCCUCGAAUCUCGGCGAAAGUUGAGAGUGCCUUCGGGAGCGAGGAGACAGGUGGUGCAUGGCUGUCGUCAGCUCGUGUCGUGAGAUGUUGGGUUAAGUCCCGCAACGGGCGCAACCCACGUUUUCAGUUGCCAGCAUUAAGUUGGGGACUCUGGAGAGACUGCCGGUGACAAACCGGAGGAAGGUGUGGACGACGUCAAGUCAUCAUGCCCCUUACAUCCUGGGCUACACACGUACUACAAUGGUUAGGACAAAGGGCAGCGAAGCCGCGAGGUGGAGCAAAACUCAUAAACCUAGCCUCAGUUCAGAUUGCAGGCUGCAACUCGCCUGCAUGAAGGAGGAAUCGCUAGUAAUCGCAGGUCAGCAUACUGCGGUGAAUACGUUCCCGGGCCUUGUACACACCGCCCGUCACACCAUGGGAGUUGGCCACGCCCGAAGUCGUUACCCUAACCGUUCGCGGAGGGGGACGCCGAAGGUGGGGCUGAUGACUGGGGUGAAGUCGUAACAAGGUAGCCGUACCGGAAGGUGUGGCUGGAUCACCUCCUUAAGGGAGACCUUACCCACUUUCAGCCGAAAGCACAAAGCGAUUAAGCGAGAGACUGGUCAACCGAGGUCGUUCGAGGAAUUGAUGAGGCUUCCAGACUAGAGUCUAGUUCUUUCACGGACAGACGAGCCGACUUUAGUUUGGCGUAGUCUGGUCUGCAAAGGAAAGACUGUUGAUAAGGCAGUGGGCUAUUAGCUCAGGUGGUUAGAGCGCACCCCUGAUAAGGGUGAGGUCCCUGGUUCGAGUCCAGGAUGGCCCACCUUCACAGUAGAUGCACCUGCGUCCAUGUGAUGCACCAUCAGAACCUUUCAACGAACGAGCAUCUCUCAGCACCCACAAGCCAGAUUAAGUCUGCUUAGGACUGCUGAGCAAAGCUCAGCGAGAACCUUGAAAACUGCAUAACAAAAGCCAAGAAAUCGAAAGAGUCUGGUGUAGUCCAGGUUUCUGCUUUGCGGCCAAGCGGCUGAGUAAUCAGUCAUGUAACCAAGGGAGCAGGGACUUGAAGUAUUCCUAGACGUCGAGCAAAAAA